GACGAACGCUGGCGGCGUGCCUAAUACAUGCAAGUCGAACGAACUCUGGUAUUGAUUGGUGCUUGCAUCAUGAUUUACAUUUGAGUGAGUGGCGAACUGGUGAGUAACACGUGGGAAACCUGCCCAGAAGCGGGGGAUAACACCUGGAAACAGAUGCUAAUACCGCAUAACAACUUGGACCGCAUGGUCCGAGYUURAAAGAUGGCUUCGGCUAUCACUUUUGGAUGGUCCCGCGGCGUAUUAGCUAGAUGGUGRGGUAACGGCUCACCAUGGCAAUGAUACGUAGCCGACCUGAGAGGGUAAUCGGCCACAUUGGGACUGAGACACGGCCCAAACUCCUACGGGAGGCAGCAGUAGGGAAUCUUCCACAAUGGACGAAAGUCUGAUGGAGCAACGCCGCGUGAGUGAAGAAGGGUUUCGGCUCGUAAAACUCUGUUGUUAAAGAAGAACAUAUCUGAGAGUAACUGUUCAGGUAUUGACGGUAUUUAACCAGAAAGCCACGGCUAACUACGUGCCAGCAGCCGCGGUAAUACGUAGGUGGCAAGCGUUGUCCGGAUUUAUUGGGCGUAAAGCGAGCGCAGGCGGUUUUUUAAGUCUGAUGUGAAAGCCUUCGGCUCAACCGAAGAAGUGCAUCGGAAACUGGGAAACUUGAGUGCAGAAGAGGACAGUGGAACUCCAUGUGUAGCGGUGAAAUGCGUAGAUAUAUGGAAGAACACCAGUGGCGAAGGCGGCUGUCUGGUCUGUAACUGACGCUGAGGCUCGAAAGUAUGGGUAGCAAACAGGAUUAGAUACCCUGGUAGUCCAUACCGUAAACGAUGAAUGCUAAGUGUUGGAGGGUUUCCGCCCUUCAGUGCUGCAGCUAACGCAUUAAGCAUUCCGCCUGGGGAGUACGGCCGCAAGGCUGAAACUCAAAGGAAUUGACGGGGGCCCGCACAAGCGGUGGAGCAUGUGGUUUAAUUCGAAGCUACGCGAAGAACCUUACCAGGUCUUGACAUACUAUGCAAAUCUAAGAGAUUAGACGUUCCCUUCGGGGACAUGGAUACAGGUGGUGCAUGGUUGUCGUCAGCUCGUGUCGUGAGAUGUUGGGUUAAGUCCCGCAACGAGCGCAACCCUUAUUAUCAUUGCCAGCAUUAAGUUGGGCACUCUGGUGAGACUGCCGGUGACAAACCGGAGGAAGGUGGGGAUGACGUCAAAUCAUCAUGCCCCUUAUGACCUGGGCUACACACGUGCUACAAUGGAUGGUACAACGAGUUGCGAACUCGCGAGAGUAAGCUAAUCUCUUAAAGCCAUUCUCAGUUCGGAUUGUAGGCUGCAACUCGCCUACAUGAAGUCGGAAUCGCUAGUAAUCGCGGAUCAGCAUGCCGCGGUGAAUACGUUCCCGGGCCUUGUACACACCGCCCGUCACACCAUGAGAGUUUGUAACACCCAAAGUCGGUGGGGUAACCUUUUAGGAACCAGCCGCCUAAGGUGGGACAGAUGAUUAGGGUGAAGUCGUAACAAGGUAGCCGUAGGAGAACCUGC
RNAcentral lists this ribosomal RNA (1521 nucleotides) under Lactiplantibacillus plantarum. RNAcentral describes it as "Lactobacillus plantarum partial 16S ribosomal RNA". It matches the Rfam family "Bacterial small subunit ribosomal RNA". Lineage: Bacteria; Bacillati; Bacillota; Bacilli; Lactobacillales; Lactobacillaceae. The record is from RNAcentral.